GACAACAUGCCCGAGUGGUUAAGGGGGUAGACUUGAAAUCUACUGGCUUCACGCCGCACAGGUUCGAAUCCUGUUGUUGUCG
This 82-nucleotide transfer RNA is filed under the name Rhodospirillaceae bacterium. Its description in RNAcentral is "tRNA-Ser". It matches the Rfam family "tRNA". Rfam says of the family: Transfer RNA (tRNA) molecules are approximately 80 nucleotides in length. Lineage: Bacteria; Pseudomonadati; Pseudomonadota; Alphaproteobacteria; Rhodospirillales; Rhodospirillaceae. The record is from RNAcentral.